Molecule: non-coding RNA, 1526 nt
Organism: Chrysemys picta bellii (western painted turtle)
Lineage: Eukaryota; Metazoa; Chordata; Testudines; Emydidae
Source: RefSeq, a predicted model, not a curated record
GUGAAUUUAGUGCUCGUGAAUGGUGCUGAAUUAUGUGACCUUCGGCUGAGACAUGAAAGAUGCUGGAUUGGAAGUUCUGGAGCCUGAAGCUUCCCAUUUACUACAGAACAGGUGUCCACAUCACAGAAACGAUCUGCUAGAUAAUGCACUGAGACCACCAACCAACCAACUGGUAACAGUCCUUCAGCACUAUGAGCCUGGCAGAAGACUGAAUCAGUAAUCUAGAGAUGAGAGGAAAGGUGGCAAUUGCUAACUAAAAUUAGAGAUGUGGACUCAGAAAUCACUUGCGAGGCCUGUAAAGAGAACUUACGAUGAGCAACUUCCUGCUGUGAGAAUGAACGGGCUGAAUUCUGAGAAGCAUCAUGUUCCAUCUGGGGCUCUGUGGACAGCCUUCUAUUCCUGGAUCCAUCCCAGAAGCUCAAGCUCCUGAAACUGCGGUGGGCACUGAGCCAGCAACAAGGAGAGAUUUAAUCGGCGUCCGAGCAGGUUCAGGAUGACAGUGUACUGUGCAUUUGGUAGAUGGUAAGGAUGUUAACCAGGCUGGAUCUCACCAAGGCAAAUAUCCCGAUGGUUGUCGCUGCACGGUGUGUUUUACAUAAUAUCCGUAAAGCAAAGGGGGAAACCGUCGCUGGCAGGGUGGGGGGAAGUGGAAAGGCCGUCUGCUGACUUUGAACAGCCGUGACUCAAGGGCCCAUUGUGGCGCUGGGCAGUUGAAGAAGGCCUUGUGCUUUGACCGUGCCCCAUCCUCAGGCAGUGUGCUGCUUUGUGUUAAUUUGUAUCCUUUUGUGAUUCAGCAGUAGUUGGCUGGCGUCUGAAUUGUCGAUUAACGGUUUUGGAGGUUGCGUGGCUGUCUUGCAAGACCAAAUAAAUACAUCUUGAUUGUCCCCGACUCAGAGCUCCAGAGGUGACCGGCGAACAUGCCCUUCCUUGACCUUGUCUUCUUCCUUCUGCUCAAGGUCAGUUUUUCAGCAGGUGCAGAAGGGGUACCCCCGUUGAGGCCACUGCUAACAACAGGCCAGACAGACAUUGUUAGAUUUAAAGAGUUGGCAGAUAGGAAAAGAGAGAGAAAAAUCUCCCUAAAAGGCUCCCAUAAAGAUCUUAAUAAAACAAUGAACAGCAUCAGGCUAGCUUCAGAGCCGCUGACUUUAGGACAGGUCAGCAGUUCCCAGCCUGGUGAGUGCAUAGGGGGCACUUUUCAAAACCUGUAACCCUGAGGAGUGGGGGUGGGGGUCGGCCAGGCAUCCCAGCUAAUAACUGGAGGGACAGCGCGGUAAAUAUUGCCAAACGUAUUACAGGCAGUGGUGAUUCUGGCCAGUACACACUCCUGUGGGUGCCAUAGGCGGCCGCACUCCUCCUAGCGCUGGUGGAACUCCUUGCAGGGCGGUGUGAGAAAGUUGCCUAUGGGGAUGGAAGAAACAAAGCAGCCCUGCUGAGAAACGUUCAGGCAAAUCUCAAAGGCCUUGGCUACACUGGCGCUGUACAGCGCUGCAACUUGCUGCGCUCAGGGGUGUGAAAACGCCCCCCUC